RNAcentral lists this ribosomal RNA (468 nucleotides) under uncultured bacterium. RNAcentral's name for it is "partial 16S ribosomal RNA". It matches the Rfam family "Bacterial small subunit ribosomal RNA", at positions 28 to 507 of the family's 1533-position model. The record is from RNAcentral.
GACGAACGCUGGCGGCGUGCUUAACACAUGCAAGUCGAACGGAAAGGCCCUGCUUUUGUGGGGUGCUCGAGUGGCGAACGGGUGAGUAACACGUGAGUAACCUGCCUUUGACUUUGGGAUAACUUCAGGAAACUGGGGCUAAUACCGGAUAGGAGCUCCUGCUGCAUGGUGGGGGUUGGAAAGUUGUGGCUGUUGGGUAUGGUCUCGCGGCUUAUCAGCUUGUUGGUGGGGUAGUGGCUUACCAAGCACUUGACGGGUAGCCGGCCUGGGAGGGUUACCGGCCACGAUGGGCCUUGAUUACAGCCCAGACUCCUAGGGGUGGCAGCAGUGGGAAAUAUUGCACAAUAGGCGGAAGCCUGAUGCAGCGACGCCGCGUGCGGGAUGACGGCCUUCGGGUUGUAAGCCGCUUUCGCCUGUGACGAAGCGUGAGUGACGGUAAUGGGUAAAGAAGCACCGGCUAACUACGUG